UUUUUUUUUUUUUUUUUUUUAAGGGAUGAGGUCUCCCUAUGUCAUCCAGGCUGGUCUUGAACUUCUGAGCUCAAGCAAUCCUCCUGCCUCAGCCUCCCAAAGUGUGGGAUUACAGGCAUGAACCACCGUGCUCGGCCCUCAAGUGCGUUUCAUAGGAGUCUGUGUUUUGUGCAACUCCUAGAGAAAUAACGGAGAAAUAACCGAGUGUCAUACGUGGACUUGUAAAGUCGGUUCCUCUCAAACAACAGCAGCACUUCAAGGAGGGCCCAUUGCUGGGGUGGAUUUUAUUUAGGGCAACAAAUAAUAAAUGUGAUACAACAAAGAAUUCCCAGGCACAUGUGGAGGAGGUACUUCUGACGUGAGAAUCCUCUUGGGGUGAGGCAGGUGCGCUGCUGACUCCACGUUGCCCGAGAGCUGCCAGGCAACACACGUGGGAGGUCUGAGGAAGGUCAGCGCGGGCAGCGAAGGAGCAGGCAGGAUCCUCAACAGCAGCGUCCCUCUCCAGGCUGCUUUCCAGUAGCUUCUGAAGAAAGCUUUCCUGCACAGGAAAUGGCAGAGAUGUACCACACUUUGCUGCCCUUGGUGGCCACGCCGAGGGUCUCCUGAGGAGGUGGUGACCAGGCAUUAACAGCUGGCUCCUAGGAGUCAAAAUAAAGCCCUCUUCGCUCUCGUACAGGGCCCGCUGGGCACAGAGCUGAAUGCCACAAGGUGUCGUCCCGGGAGCCAGGGUGGCUGCUGUCAUGGCCAAUGCGCUGGCCACAGCCACCCUUCACUGUGCAGGAGCUGGGCGAGGGGAGGAAACCCCUGGCUUGGAGGGUCUGCCAGAGCUCCCAGGGCAGGCCUCUGCCUGGUGCUCACAUCCCAGCCGGACAUGUGGGGUGCCCAGCAUGGAUUUCUUUCAUGGAAUGAAUGACAGGACGUGUCAUGGGUUGAACUGUGUCCCUAGAAGGACGUGUUGACAGCUUCACCCCGGAGCCUGUGACUGUGACCUCGGCCUUUGCAGUGGCCCCAAGUUCAGAUGAGGCCGCACAGAGGGAAGGCGGUCCCAAUACCAGGACGAUGUCUUUCUAAGGAGAGGGAGAGGCUGGAGUGAGCACAGCAGGACGGACAUCGGAAGAGAGGCCAGGCCGGGCUGGGCAGCGUGGCCCCAGGACGAUGGUCACCACAAGCUGCUGGCAUCCAUGGAAAGUGGGAGGGAAGAGGAGAGUUUUCAGAGCCUGCAGCAGGAGCCGUGCCCUGCCCUGCCCUGCCCUGCCUCGGCUUUGGUCUUCUGGCAUCGGAACGGCGAGAGGAUGCCUUUCUGUGCUUUACGCUGCCCAGGCUGGAGUCACUUUUUACAGCAGCCCUAGUAGAUAAAGCGAGGAAUGCCCUGGCCCCAAAGCACAGGCUUCCUGGGUUUCCUUCAAGGGCGGAGGGAUGCCGUGGUCCUGACCUGGUGGCACCAGGAGCCUAAGACUUGGGAUCCAUGCGUUGGAACUGGGGCGGUUCUCAGAACCAACCACAGCUGCUGAAGACUCAGGGACAGCCCAGAUCCAUGCCGUGUGAACGGGGGCGGUUCUCAGAACCAACCACGGCUGCUGGGGACGCAGGGCCUGCCUGGACUUCCCCGCUCCUGUGACCCUGCGUCCACGUCUUUGACAAAUGAUUUCUGAAAGUGUCUCUGCAGAGGGGUCAAGAUGCAAAAGCCACAGCACCCCCGCUUCGCAGCACAAAGAUUCUUAGAAUUGGAGGGCUGAAAGAAGUAGCACGGUUCUAGCUCGGUAACACUUGUCAAAAAUGUGUAGCCUCAGAACUUACUAACUUACUUACUUAUUUAUUUAUUUAUAGUGAAACAAAGCUGUAUGAUGUGGUCGCCUCCUGACCAGAGGUGGUCUGGGAUCUCAGAGCCAGGUCAGCUUCCCACCCUGGCGUCACCCCUGCAGCAGGGCGUGGGACCCCAGGGCGCUGUGGGACACAGUUUGAGAACCACGGUGGUCUCCGCCGCUCUGCCCCCU
This 1994-nucleotide long non-coding RNA is filed under the name Macaca fascicularis (crab-eating macaque). RNAcentral's name for it is "lncRNA (ENSMFAG00000063315.1)". Lineage: Eukaryota; Metazoa; Chordata; Mammalia; Primates; Cercopithecidae. The record is from RNAcentral.